UACGAAGGGUGCAAACGUUGCUCGGAAUUAUUGGGCGUAAAGCGCACGUAGGCGGCAUUGCAAGUCGGAUGUGAAAUCCUUCGGCUUAACCAAGGAAGUGCAUCCGAAACUGCAGUGCUUGAGUACUUAAGAGGAUCGCGGAAUUCCCGGUGUAGAGGUGAAAUUCGUAGAUAUCGGGAGGAACACCAGUGGCGAAGGCGGCGAUCUGGGAAGAUACUGACGCUGAGGUGCGAAAGCGUGGGGAGCAAACAGG
RNAcentral lists this ribosomal RNA (253 nucleotides) under uncultured bacterium. RNAcentral describes it as "partial 16S ribosomal RNA". It matches the Rfam family "Bacterial small subunit ribosomal RNA", at positions 524 to 776 of the family's 1533-position model. The record is from RNAcentral.